This 366-nucleotide long non-coding RNA is filed under the name Brassica napus (rape). RNAcentral's name for it is "long non-coding RNA (BNAP_LNC006796)". Lineage: Eukaryota; Viridiplantae; Streptophyta; Magnoliopsida; Brassicales; Brassicaceae. The record is from RNAcentral.
AAAAAAAUAUGUUAAGAAGAACAUUAAACAUAGACAACAUUAACACAAUGCUGUCUAACUCAUUCAUAGGAUGAGCUGAUUCGCUAGUUUUCCUUAAUUUGUUCUUCAUCUUGUACGAUCUUUCUUGUGCUUCUCAAUUGUUGUAAGUAAAUGCUUGUAUCUCUGAGUAGAUCAUAGGAUGCAAUCCAUUUUUUACAUCAUAGUUCAUCCCCAACACUCCCUCUGCAGGAGAUAACAUACUUUGUUGUAACUGUCCACGGCAUUGAUUUUUUUCCGCUUUGAAAGCAAUAAAGCCAUAUUGUCAAUAUGUUUUGUUAUCAAAAAUCUAUGAACUCCUUAUUGCUUUAAAUCCUUUGCUCGCCCAUC